GCAAGGACUGAUGCCGCAGAAUUCUUUGCAGAAUCCAAGAGAAAACAGCGCCGAGAUCUGGUGGGGUCAACACUGUUCCUCACUCGGGGCUCUCCAGUGGGAAGGAGUGUCGAGACAACUGUGCAAAUCGGCAAAAAAACAUGACAGAUAUUGACGAGCUUGAGUACGAGGUCAAGCGAGUUGGAACUGAGACCAGAGUAGCAUCAUUACAGGAGAAUGAUCUCUGUACGCUCUGAAACUGUUCACGGAUGAAAGAAAACGGGAGUUGGCAAGGAAAAGAAUUCAGCAUUACAGCGAAGGAAUGUGUGAUAUUGUUUCUGUCAACAUGUAAAUGGGGACGAUGACAACACGCGCUCACUAGCCACACCUACUCAGAAUACAAAGAUGAGGCAUCAGCACUACCAGUACUUCGAAACGUGAAUCACUUUUUGCAGACCAGCACGACGGAGAUUCCUCUCCUUAUCUCUUCUUCCUGAUCAGACUCUACUCUUACGCAGUUCGCUUCGAGUGCGCGUGUGUAGUGGUGCACAGUGCUUUUUAAUGCGCGUGCGCAACAGCACGCAGUACUCAAUACGACAAAAUGCGCAUGCGCAACAGUGCAUAGUGCUUUAUACGGUUCAUGCUCCGCAACAGCUUUGCACACCGCUGUUUUAGGCCCGUAUUACAGAUAUCGAAAAUCAAAUUUUGGGCGCAUAUACGAUAAUAACGCUUUGAUACAUGUUGACGAGCUGGAGAACUGUUAUACUUUAGUACUGACACUACUGGCGCUAUGAUUCUUACAUCAUGUAACUCAACGCAAGGAUUUUGACAAGCUAUUUUUCAUUUAGUACAAAUUUUCUUCAUACUUUUACUAUUCUAAUAAUAUAAAUCCAUGUUAUUUGCCCAUACUGGAAAAUUCUAACAUGCGACGAAAUUUUGCAAUUUCUAAGAACUACGGAAAAUGAACACAUAAAUCCAUGUAUGAAAUCAUUAAAGCUAUUUAAAGAUAGGUGUAAUAGUCGUUACUUUGAUUUCAGCUAUUUUCCUUCGUAUGCGAUUCAAAGAUGAAAUCAUGUACUGAACUUAAUUGGUACUUAUCUCAGUAUUCAAUGUACAUUGGCAUGUUAGAAAGAAUUUACUUGAUUUUUGUACAAUAAUGACGAAACUCAAUUCUUUAGAGCUAAGACAACCUAAUUUUGACUACCGAUUAUAAUUUCUCUAUCAAAACUUGUAUUAUUCCACUUGUUUUGAUUGGCGUUAACCAUAACGGUAACUUUGUAAAUUUCCAUUUCGACAAAAUGUUAAGUCGUUUUUCCACCUAGGUUUUUAUUUUGCUUCUUCUAUAAAAAAAAAAAUGGUAGGUACGUUUCGAUUCGGCUAUUGUGUAAUACACAAUACACAAUU
Molecule: long non-coding RNA, 1383 nt
Filed under: Neodiprion lecontei (redheaded pine sawfly)
Lineage: Eukaryota; Metazoa; Arthropoda; Insecta; Hymenoptera; Diprionidae
Description: uncharacterized LOC124293484
Source: RNAcentral